Daphnia pulex (common water flea) is the source of this 2065-nucleotide RNA transcript. RefSeq lists it as uncharacterized. Lineage: Eukaryota; Metazoa; Arthropoda; Branchiopoda; Diplostraca; Daphniidae. The record is from RefSeq and is a predicted model, not a curated record. The transcript has 8 exons.
AAAGGUUGCUUUACGACAAAAUUCUUAUUAAACGGUGAGCACCCACCGACGCUACUACACCGUUAUACCGUAAUCAGUUCUCCGAAAGAUUUGCGUUGUGUUAAACCUACUUUAAGGCAUUGUCAAUAUGGGCUUGAAAGUAAAUCAGCGUUGUUGCGGUUGCUCCCUACACACUGGCACCAAAGUUAGCUCCAAAACCGGAGAGAGAUUCGUGUCUAUAACAUUCUUUCUGUGAUUUCAAAUAUCAAAUUUAACUUCAUAUCUAAUAAAGAUGCAUACUGUCAGUCAUUCCAACUAAAUGACUGUAGCGCACAGUCAAUUUCCAUCCAUUAGAUCCUCAUGCUGUCAAAAGCCUAAAACUCAUGUUUGAAGCCCACACAUAGAGGAAUACAGAUGUAUCAAGAUAAGAUGUACAAACACGAAUGUUGUGAAUUUCGUUUUGGGGUCAAUGGAGUUGGCGCAGGUUGCCGUUACUGGCCUUUUGCGAUGUCCUGAUAUCAGUUUGGAAGAAGAGCUCUGGGGAAUCGUCACUCAUACUCGAGUCGUAUGUAAGGGCAAAGAAAAGGCGAAAGAAAUCAGAGUGAAUAUCUCCGAUAUACAAGAGCUAAAGUGCACCAUGUGUCACCAACUGCAUUCUUCGUCGCGCUACCAGUUUCAAUCAUGGCUGGGUCGACCACUGGUGUACCGAUGACUCUUGGGUGUGGCGGAUACCAAAGCACUACACUGCCGCAUUACUACACAACAUACAACACAACCAGUUGCUACACCAAUGCCUUAAAUACUACAUCACCAAGGAACCAGAGUGUUACACAACUACAAAUGCCGCGCCAGCUUAUUACACCGAGGCUCCCUAACACAACACCACCAAGGCAUCGGAGUACUACACCACUACAUAUCAUGGUCGUAUGAAAGGAGAGAAAAGGUGAAAGAAUUCAGCAGCCGAGUGAGCAUCUCCGUUACGGUAUAGGAACUGCCGUGCACUAUUUGUCAACAAGUUCAUUCUUCGUCGCAUUCCAAGUUUUAAAUAAAGUAAACUAUGGCGUCGUGUUGCUGUUGGGUGUUGUAUCGUUGAUGGUUGGUUCGGCCAUGGUGUACCGAUAUCUCCAAAGUAUGGGGUGUACCAACAACAACAUACGCAAAAACCGGUUACUACACUGAGACCUGCAAGUGCCACACCACCGAGGAUAACUUGUUACCCCACCGAAGCGCCCAAGUUCUGCACUACAACCUACGUCGCCCCAGCUUACACCACGAAGGCAGCGGAGUACUACACCACGAAGGCAGCGGAGUACUACACCACGAAGGCAGCGGAGUACUACACCACGAAGGCAGCGGAGUACUACACCACGAAGGCAGCGGAGUACUACACCACGAAGGCAGCGGAGUACUACACCACGAAGGCAGCGGAGUACUACACCACGAAGGCAGCGGAGUACUACACCACGAAGGCAGCGGAGUACUACACCACGAAGGCAGCGGAGUACUACACCACGAAGGCAGCGGAGUACUUACUACACCACGAAGGCAGCGGAGUACUUACUACACCACGAAGGCAGCGGAUUACUACACCACGAAGGCAGCGGAGUACUACACCACGAAGGCAGCGGAGUACUACACCACGAAGGCAGCGGAGUACUACACCACGAAGGCAGCGGAGUACUACACCACGAAGGCAGCGGAGUACUACACCACGAAGUCACCGUCACGAUACACCAUGGCUCCAGUUUACUUCACUACAACCCACGCUGCUCCAGAGUACUGCACUGAUGUUCCAAAGUACUACACCACCAAAGUCAUCCGAGUAUUACAUCACUACUUUCGUUAGUACCAAAUCCUACACCGAAGCUCCCAAAGCACUUCUUUGCCCCGAGUUACUACACCACUAACGCAGCCGAAUAACACCCCAAACUACGAUUCCGCAAUUUUCUGCAAGGAAAUUCCUUAUUAUUAGAGCCGAAAUUUCUACUCGGGGUUAUUUAUAUGUAUCGGUUAUUUUCAUGGUAAUUGGUCGCUGGGAAUCAAUUGUUGAUCUUAAAUGAGAAAAUAAAAGUUUUAAUACGGGUAA